Molecule: ribosomal RNA, 492 nt
Filed under: uncultured bacterium
Lineage: Bacteria
Description: partial 16S ribosomal RNA
Rfam family: Bacterial small subunit ribosomal RNA
Source: RNAcentral
AGUGAACGCUGGCGGUAGGCCUAACACAUGCAAGUCGAACGGCAGCACAGUAAGAGCUUGCUCUUACGGGUGGCGAGUGGCGGACGGGUGAGGAAUACAUCGGAAUCUACUUUUUCGUGGGGGAUAACGUAGGGAAACUUACGCUAAUACCGCAUACGACCUACGGGUGAAAGCAGGGGAUCUUCGGACCUUGCGCGAUUGAAUGAGCCGAUGUCGGAUUAGCUAGUUGGCGGGGUAAAGGCCCACCAAGGCGACGAUCCGUAGCUGGUCUGAGAGGAUGAUCAGGCACACUUGAACUGAGACACGGUCCAGACUCCUACGGGAGGCAGCAGUGGGGAAUAUUGGACAAUGGGCGCAAGCCUGAUCCAGCCAUACCGCGUGGGUGAAGAAGGCCUUCGGGUUGUAAAGCCCUUUUGUUGGGAAAGAAAAGCAGCAGGUUAAUACCCCGCUGUUCUGACGGUACCCAAAGAAUAAGCACCGGCUAACUUCGUG